RNAcentral lists this small RNA (161 nucleotides) under Chrysemys picta bellii (western painted turtle). Its description in RNAcentral is "TUC338 (ENSCPBG00000008756.1)". Lineage: Eukaryota; Metazoa; Chordata; Testudines; Emydidae. The record is from RNAcentral.
CUGAUAGCACCAGAGCCUCACGUUCUCUGUGUAUUUGUGGAGCAAGUGCAGCAUGGACAGGAGCAGAGCCAGCUCCCUUGCAUUGCCCUUCCAGUGUGCCUCAACCUUGACCUGGAGCAGGGUAGUCUGCAUGGGGUCUGGACCAUCCUUGUUGGUGUACA